Molecule: ribosomal RNA, 280 nt
Filed under: uncultured Dechloromonas sp.
Lineage: Bacteria; Pseudomonadati; Pseudomonadota; Betaproteobacteria; Rhodocyclales; Azonexaceae
Description: partial 16S ribosomal RNA
Rfam family: Bacterial small subunit ribosomal RNA
Source: RNAcentral
UGGGUGGGUAAAACCAUUUAGUACCGUAGCUAACGCGUGAAGUUGACCGCCUGGGGAGUACGGCCGCAAGGUUAAAACUCAAAGGAAUUGACGGGGACCCGCACAAGCGGUGGAUGAUGUGGAUUGGAGUUGGAUGCGAACGCGAAAAACCUUACCUACCCUUGACAUGUCCAGAAGCCCGAAGAGAUUUGGGUGUGCCCGAAAGGGAGCUGGAACACAGGUGCUGCAUGGCUGUCGUCAGCUCGUGUCGUGAGAUGUUGGGUUAAGUCCCGCAACGAGC